CAGAGUAUACCUAACCGUCCUCUCAACCCUGCCCAUCGUACCUUUAAAGUUGUUCCUUCGGCGGUGAACUCGACGGCCCCUGUAACGGGAAGCCCAGCAGAGACCCCUUAACUAUGCUAUAUAAUGUCUUCUGAGUAACAAGCAAUGAAUUUCA
RNAcentral lists this unclassified non-coding RNA (154 nucleotides) under soil metagenome. RNAcentral's name for it is "partial internal transcribed spacer 1". The record is from RNAcentral.